GGUAGAACUGGCGGAGGGAGUGGGCAUAGAGGGUGUCUUGGAAGGCAUCGAAGGAGCAUCGGUAGAAGAUGGAUCGGUCGGAGCCAGAUCGGAGGGCGACGGCUUGGUGCUUUUCCGGUCCGGCAGAGUUUUUGAACCCCAUGUCCCUUGCCAUGAACCUCCUCCCAACAACAGCGAAGGUUGCCGUCGAGAAUGUCGGAGUUCCAUCAAUGAAGUUCAAGCUCCCACUGACAAUAGUCUUGUACAUCCCAUCCCCAUACAUCUGCACAUUCCACUUGUUCUUAUCUAUCACCACAUUCUCCACAUACUCCCCUCCCUUCACAUAUAUCACAAAAGGAUACAUGUUCUUCUUGGGCACCAUCUCCACCGCCUCCUUAAUCGUCUUCACAUCCCCUGUCCCGUCCGCCGCCACUGUCACAUUUGCCGUCAUCCCAUCCCCCAAUAGCCACCUUCUCUGAAACCCCGAUGCCCACUUUGGAAUCGGAAUUUGAUCAGUAGCCAAAAGUUUCCGAUGUAUCGGCACAUUGAGCUUAGCCAUGAUUCCGAGUACCCCCUUCACAAUCGCCAGCCCGUUACUGGUGAACUGCGUCGAGUUUGUCAUUGUCGCCUCCAUCUUCUCCCUCAAUCCAUCCUCAGUCCCUUCGAAUCCAUCCAAGCAGGUUUCCUGGUUGGUCACCGCCGCGCUCAGCCACGACAUCAAGUCAUCCACCUUCGCCGCUGUCAACAUCUUCUUUUCACCAUCCGCCGGCUGCAUAGCAUCCAGAGCAUCAGUCAAUUGGCUGACCGACUCAUCCAGUAGCUCCUUGCAGUCCUGGAUCGCCUUGGUCAACCUCGUAUUGUUCGUCGGGGACUGCGAAGACAAGAGACUGUCUGUUGCAACCGAAACCUUGGAGAUGGCGGCGAUGGCGACAUUGAGAGCGAGCUUGAAUAGCUCUUCCGGGUCGGUUGUCGCAUUGGCUCCCUUCAUGGAGGAGAUGCUGGAGAAGCAGGAGUCGGGGUAGCGCGUGACGCUGCACAUGGUUUUGAGUGAGCUUGAGGCGGAGACAGCGGGAGAGGACGGGGAGCUGUCAGAGUUGCUUCCAUGCUUGUUUUUUACAACAGCGACAGCGACACCGGCGACGAUGGCGAGAAGGAGGAUGACUGAGACGGAGAUGAGGAUGAUGCGGUUGCGGGCCUUGCGGCGAAACUCGCGGUCCUCGGCGGCGUCGACUUUGCCGUAGCCUUUGAAGGACUUGAUGGAAUCCAUGG
RNAcentral lists this unclassified non-coding RNA (1248 nucleotides) under Hevea brasiliensis (rubber tree). Lineage: Eukaryota; Viridiplantae; Streptophyta; Magnoliopsida; Malpighiales; Euphorbiaceae. The record is from RNAcentral.